Molecule: unclassified non-coding RNA, 200 nt
Filed under: Helotiales sp.
Lineage: Eukaryota; Fungi; Ascomycota; Leotiomycetes; Helotiales
Description: partial internal transcribed spacer 2
Source: RNAcentral
UUAAGUUCAGCGGGUAUCCCUACCUGAUCCGAGGUCAACCAGAAAAAAUUGAGGUUGCUGGCUAGCGACCACCAGGGCCCAGCAGCGAGAGAUAUUACUACACUGAGGGAACCGAUGGUGCCGCCACUACGUUUGAGGCCUGCCGUCGCCGGCGUGGCCCAAGACCAAGCAGUGCUUGAGGGUUGAAAUGACGCUCGAAC